UUUUUAUUGUAUUGCUAGGCACUUUCUUUUGCCUAAACCAUUAUGGAUUUUCUUUCUUUCUUUUUUUCUUUUUUUUAGCUCAGCUCAGCACAGUGCAGGGAUGACUUCUCCACAAAGAGUACAAGCAAUGUUUCUGCAACUGCAUAACAAUUAUGCAUGGAAAACUAAUGCUGCAUGACUAUUGGCUGCGCAGCUGUAGUUCGCGUGCUGAUUGGCUGAGUAAUACUGUGAUAGCUCGUGAGCAACAGCAGAUGUACCAGAAUUCUCCUGAGAUUGAUCUUUGAGCUUUUUCUCCUGAGCAAUUCUUAAGGUUUGUUUGCAUUUUUUGGUUGUACUUUUAAAGGUGCACUAUGCACCUAAUACUAUUCUCCUUAUAAUCCAACAUUUUGUAUUUUAUGGGGUUGACACUUUUUAACAAGUUUUGGCCGUAUUUUCAUUUA
RNAcentral lists this long non-coding RNA (440 nucleotides) under Carassius auratus (goldfish). Its description in RNAcentral is "lncRNA (ENSCARG00000012857.1)". The record is from RNAcentral. Lineage: Eukaryota; Metazoa; Chordata; Actinopteri; Cypriniformes; Cyprinidae.